This 63-nucleotide transfer RNA is filed under the name Chrysomeloidea sp. 7 KM-2017. RNAcentral's name for it is "tRNA-Pro". The record is from RNAcentral. Lineage: Eukaryota; Metazoa; Arthropoda; Insecta; Coleoptera.
CAGGAAGUAGUUUACAAAAAAUUUUAAUUUUGGAGAUUAAAGACGGGAUUUACCUCUUUCUGA